UCCACAGCACACCGCUCUGCAGCAUUCUGGGAGCCGUAGUCCAUACAAGAUGGCUCAUACCCGAAGCUAUUAGCCAAAAAUCACGGGAAGACUACAUUUCCCAUGCUGCCGUGAGGCUGGUCAUGUGAUCUGGUAUGAGCAGCUCAUUAACCUCAGUCCGUGUGUGUGUGUGUGUGUGUGUGUGUGUGUGUGUGUGUGUGUGUUUGGGGGGUGGGGGACUUGGCUCCAGGUUAUUAUCGGUCACACAUGAACAUCGGUGCGCUUGUUCUGUCUGCCGAAGAACUGAAGGUUUCUUUGUAGUAGAGAUUGAUAGAAAUGUAAAGUGGAGAAUUGCAGCAAUAACAAAUAAAUACAACGAGGAACGAGGGUUGAUUGUUGUUAGCUCGUCAAAGAAUGCGUGCUAGAAGUUGUCAGGUUGCAUUCGAGAUUUUUAUGUUAAAGUAAACGGGCAAAUAGUUAACUUUGGUUUCUGUCAAAUCGGGGAAAUUUAGAGAUGGCGACUGAUAAAACCACGGUCAGUCUGGGAGAGAUUAAAUGUGGUUGUGUUAUGAGAGACCCCGUUCCACAGGCCCACAGCGAGACACUCGGGUCCACUGCGGAAAGUAAAAUGCAGAUGAUUAAAGGUAGUCUGUUCCUUGGUUCUGUAGCUACUGCUGGGAUGCUAGCAGGUUUUGGCACAACUCUUGCAAUGGCAAAAAAGAAAAAUCCUGGAUGGUUCAAUAAGGGGAUGAAUGCAACUGUUACUGUUCCUGAGAGUGGGGCAUCACUGGCCUUGAGGGCCCUAGGCUGGGGUUCUCUUUUUGCCUGGUGUGGGGUUGGUUUGCUUAGCCUUACAGUCUGGAAGGCUUUAGGAGUACACAAUAUAGAGGUCUUACUGAACUAUGUGACACAGUUUGAACAAAGCAGUUAUAAAAUGUUUAUUGAGUUAGGGAUGUUUUCAGUAAAGAAAAGCAGCCUGUUCCAUUCCUAGGAUGUCAGUCUCCUUGGGGGCAGCUGCUCACUGCUCUCACAUCGAUGAAAGACUAGCUAACAGAAUUCAGGGAAAAGAUGCAAUCAAUAUUUCCUGAAAUUCCAAAGAACACAGACAUAUCACAGGCCACUGAGCAGUUCAGUUGGGAAAAACUGUUCAAAUCAAAGUAGUAUGAUACUGAUUUAAAGAGUGCACAUGUAAAUCCACUGUCUCCCCAAACACAAAUAAAUUUUAUAUAUUAUGGAA
RNA transcript from Carcharodon carcharias (great white shark), 1216 nucleotides. It is a transcript of the gene named transmembrane protein 242, with no coding region annotated. The transcript has 5 exons. Lineage: Eukaryota; Metazoa; Chordata; Chondrichthyes; Lamniformes; Lamnidae. The record is from RefSeq and is a predicted model, not a curated record.